Molecule: ribosomal RNA, 480 nt
Filed under: uncultured bacterium
Lineage: Bacteria
Description: partial 16S ribosomal RNA
Rfam family: Bacterial small subunit ribosomal RNA
Source: RNAcentral
GACGAACGCCGGCGGCGUGCUUAACACAUGCAAGUUGAACGAGAAUUUUUCGAGUGAUUUCUUCGGAAUGAUCAUGAAAAAGGAAAGUACGGAAGGGGUGAUUACCCCGGGAGAACCUUGCUUUUAACAAGGGGAAAGCUCCGGAAAACGGGAAUUAUUACCUUAUGAAACAAAACACCCCCUGGAGGGAUGGGUAAAAGAUUUAUCGGUGUUAGAUGGUCUCGCGUCUGAUUAGCUAGUUGGUGGGAUAAAAGCCUACCAAGGCAACGAUCAGUAGCCGGAUUGAGAGGUUGAACGGCCACACUGGAACUGAGACACGGUCCAGACUCCUACGGGAGGCAGCAGUGGGGAAUUUUGCACAAUGGAGGAAACUCUGAUGCAGCGACGCCGCGUGAGUGAUGAAGGUCUUCGGAUUGUAAAACUCUGUCCUUAGUGAAGAUAAUGACAGUAACUAAGAAGCAAGCCCUGGCUAAAUACGUG